AUUGAACGCUGGCGGCAUGCCUUACACAUGCAAGUCGAACGGCAGCACGGGAGCAAUCCUGGUGGCGAGUGGCGAACGGGUGAGUAAUGUAUCGGAACGUACCUUUCAGUGGGGGAGUAACGUAGCGAAAGUUACGCUAAUACCGCAUAUUCUGUGAGCAGGAAAGACAGGGGAGUCGCAAGACCUUGCGCUGAUUGAGCGGCCGAUAUCAGAUUAGCUAGUUGGUGAGGUAAAGGCUCACCAAGGCGACGAUCUGUAGCGGGUCUGAGAGGAUGAUCCGCCACACUGGAACUGAGACACGGUCCAGACUCCUACGGGAGGCAGCAGUGGGGAAUUUUGGACAAUGGGCGCAAGCCUGAUCCAGCCAUGCCGCGUGAGUGAAGAAGGCCUCGGUCGUAAGAC
RNAcentral lists this ribosomal RNA (402 nucleotides) under uncultured bacterium. RNAcentral describes it as "bacterial SSU rRNA". It matches the Rfam family "Bacterial small subunit ribosomal RNA", at positions 30 to 431 of the family's 1533-position model. The record is from RNAcentral.